UAAGAUGAAGUAAAUAGGUUACGAUUCGUUUACAUCGAAUUUUUAGUCCCGACAGAGGGAUCGUCUUAA
Molecule: transfer RNA, 69 nt
Filed under: Nuttallina californica
Lineage: Eukaryota; Metazoa; Mollusca; Polyplacophora; Chitonida; Tonicellidae
Description: tRNA-Val
Source: RNAcentral